Long non-coding RNA from Passer domesticus (house sparrow), 3870 nucleotides. RefSeq lists it as uncharacterized. NCBI's taxonomy places the organism in Eukaryota, Metazoa, Chordata, Aves, Passeriformes, Passeridae. The record is from RefSeq and is a predicted model, not a curated record. The transcript is spliced from 4 exons.
GGCCCGCCCCCGCUCCCAGCAGCCUUUGCAGCCGCCUACAAUGAAAUUUGCGAAGUUUUUUCGGUUUCGGCGCCAUUUUCGAGUGGACUCGGAGUGUUGAGAAAAAACUGUGGAUCCUGGAAUUUUACUGUGGAUUUUACUGGUUUUCUGGAGUGCUCUCCCACUGAAGCAGCGGUCUGGCUCUCCAGAGUGGCUGUGCAGGAGCUGAUGUGCCUGUGUUGAGGUGAGUUGGGAAGGUAAGCUCAUGUCCCACCUGCUCCAAAAUACCUGCAGCAUCUGUGUCCCUCUGGGUAAAUGCAGUCCCUCUGACACACACGUCCCUUCUUGGUACUGCAGGUAAUACCUGGGAGAUGCUCAGGUGAACUCAAAUUACCCUGUUCAGCUGGCAAUUUCUGAUGUAAAGUUGAGUUUACAAAGCACAAACUAAGUUUGAAAGAAGCUGAAGUGGGAGAUGGGAUAAUUCAAGCAUGGAACUUUUUAUUGCAUGAAAUAUUGAUGCAGUCAUGUCAUAAACGUGCAUAUUUUCUCAGAUAUGUAUUUCACUGCCUAUCCCAAAUUUCCAGUUGCCCAGCACUUGGUGUGACUGUUGAUUUUCCCUCUGUGCUAGAGGCUGGUGGAGGUGUAUUGAACCCUUCCUUUAAAAAUCCUCCUUACUGAAAAGAGCUCUUGCCCUUGUUGAACUAGGCAAAAGUCUGGUUUAUAUAAAUAUAAAAAACAUUAAUUAAAAUGUAAACCUUAAGCCACUAUCAGAAUGGAUUCUAAAGCUGAACUUGUUUGCUGUUGCUUUUUUCUUUUGGAUUCAUUUGAAGAUAUGAAAGAAAUAAGAUUUCACAGGUAGAGUCGAGUAAAACAGCGUUGCAGAAGUAAUUAAUGGUAAUAUUUUGUGGGGGGUGUUUUGAUUUAGCUGGUACAGGCUGAACACUGGGCACGUGUUUGCUUUGCAGCAAGUAGCAGCUGCUCAUGAGGGAGUUGGCCCUGGUGCUGUCAGUGUUGAGGACACUGAAGUGGUGAAAAUAUACUGGUUUUUUGUUGGCAAAUAUUUGAUUUCAAAUUUGAAAUUGCUUGGCAUGGGUCAUGAGAGCUUUUGAGAACCCUAUUUUUAAGUUUGCUGGAGAGGCAGGGACUCGGUGGCGCGUCGGGCACGAGGGGAUGGCACAAGAAUUCAAACCCAGGGCGUCAUUUCUGACAUUGUUCAGGUUUUUUUGUGAUGCUGCUUUUUAAGAAAAUGAAUUGAAGGAAGUUGUCCCAUAACUGGUGGGGCGGGGGGGGGAAGGUUGAAAGGAAAUACAAAAAAUAUCAGUCUGUCUGCACGGCUCCUGUGCAGCCCAGGCAGGCUGGUGUGUGAGUGCCACUGGCUGCAGCCCCUCCCUGCCCUGCUCUGGUGCUUUCUGCCCUGGUACAGGCAGGAAAUGUGAUGAAGUUCCAGAGAUCUUUAAUUUCUGAUCAUAUAAGGCUUGUCCAUUCACAUGGUAAAUAAGCAUUUUAUACUCGUCUUAAAAAUAAGGAUUUUUUUAUGUUUCUCAGAAGUCAGAUUGAGCUGAAUGAAAGUAUUUUAAGCAAAAUUUAACAGGUUUCAACUGUUGGAAUAUGGAUUUAUUUAUCUGAAAUGUUAAUAUUGUGACUUCUGGAAAAUCCAUGAUGUUCAGCAUCACUUAAGAGGAAAGUACAAGGUAAUAUUUCCCCACAGACCAGUUGGAAGGGCUAUGAAGUUCUGCAGGCUCUUCACAGUAGCAAAAGCAACAGAUCUUCUAGAUCUAAAAGUGUACUAUUUGUUGGGACUCAAUACUAAGUGUGGUUUGGGGGAAACAGGUAAUUUCUGACCUUGUUUCUGAAAUUGGUUUGUUUGCACUGUAUAACUGCUUGUUCUCUUAUAGUUACAGACUGUCUGAUAGCACCUGUGAAGAAAAAACCCUGUCCUGUGGUGUUCAGGUAUGUGGAGACACGUUCUCUUGGUGCUUGUACUGUGCACAUCCUUCACAUCCCCUGGGAGCUCCUGUGUCUGGCCCUGCAGGCAGGAAGGACUUGCAGCUCCUUUUUGUUCUCCCAACACGAGCAUGACCACAUCCUAUAUAUCCACAUCCUCAGCUAUUGCUCCUUGGGCCUUUCCCAAGGAUCAGCCAAGGGACCCUUGCCCUGUGUUUGGGGAAGACAGGGGGGUCUGGAGGCCGUGGAGAGCUGUCAGCAGUGCUCUAGCAGCACGUAAAUACUGGAGUUUGGGAUUGCCUGUUGCUCUCCAGUAUUGCAUUGCUGCUUUAGUGAGGCUGGAAAUCUGUCCCUGCCGCAGGGCUCUGCCUCUUGGGGUCCCUCUGUGGCACCCCCACGGUGCCUCCCACACUGCAGGGGCUCCUGGAUCCCACCCUGAUAAACCCCACACUGCAGGGGCUCCUGGAUCCCACCCUGAUAAAUCCCACACUGCAGGGGCUCCUGGAUCCCACCCCAAUAAACCCCACACUGCAGGGGCUCCUGGAUCCCACCCUGAUAAAUCCCACACUGCAGGGGCUCCUGGAUCCCACCCCGAUAAAUCCCACACUGCAGGGGCUCCUGGCUCCCACCCCAAUGACCCCACACUGCAGGGGCUCCUGGCUCCCACCCUGAUAAACCCCACACUGCAGGGGCUCCUGGAUCCCACCCUGAUAAACCCCACACUGCAGGGGCUCCUGGAUCCCACCCUGAUAAACCCCACACUGCAGGGGCUCCUGGAUCCCACCCCGAUAAAUCCCACACUGCAGGGGCUCCUGGCUCCCACCCCAAUGACCCCACACUGCAGGGGCUCUUGGAUCCCACCCUGAUAAACCCCACACUGCAGGGACUCCGGGCUCCCACCCCAAUAAAUCCCACACUGCAGGGGCUCCUGGCUCCCACCCCAGUGACUCCCACCCCAAUAAACCACUGCGGAGGCAGCAACCAACGAGGGCUUGGUGUGGUCAAUGGGGAAGGGCAGGGGCUGCACCCCAGCACUGCUGCUGGGUGCCCACUCUCACACCUGGGGAGGGGGUGUGGGGGACAUUGGGGGUGCAAGGGUUGGUGGGGAGCAGAGAUUCAGCUGCGUGAGAGGGAGGGAUGCUCAUUGUGCCUGGGGUGCUCAUGGGGAAGCUCUGCUUUCCCCAAAUUUCUGCAGCUGUCCCUCAGGUACAGCUGGCACACUUGGGCCAUGGUGGAGAAGGUUUGGAGCACCUGAGGCUUUGCCUGCAGACCCACCACUGCAGCAGUGAUGUCCCCAGAGCCGUGCCAGCCCCUGGUGAAAGGUUUUUCCUUAGCAUUGCACCACUUGAGGCUUCCAAACCCUGCUGGAAUAGACACAAGGGCCACCACAGAGUCAGGGAUGCUCCUGGGAAGGGCUGGGGUGGUGCCUGCCUGCUCAGAUUCAUCUGCUAUGGUGUGAAUGAGCCUGUCAGUCCUGCCAGUGCUGGUGCAUCAUUAACAGCCCCAAUCCCGCAGCCUCCUGGUGGCUGUGAAGUCCAGAACAUUUGUUUUUUCAGCUAUUUUCAGGAAUUGCUAAAUCACAGCCAAUAGUUGUGGGGCAGGGGGAAAUCCUCACUGAUUUGCAGCUUCAAUCCCCACUCCUGCUCUGUGCUGUGCUGUUGGAGCAUCAGCAGGAGGAACACAAAUGUCUCUGGCAUGGGGAGCUGCAAGGGGGUUGUGAGUGAGGAGGAGCAGCUUUUAAAAGCCUCUGCCCUCAAAGGGGGCAAACUCACAAUGUUUGGGCACACAGCUGAUGCAUUCUAAACCAGACACUGGUAUUCUUCCACUUGUAAAGUGGUUCAUUUCCAUUUUCAACAAGUGAAGCCAUUAAUUUCCAAGUCCCAUACUGUUUUUCCUCAAGAAAAUAACUUGAUGAGUGACUUGGUUAACAGGGAAAUUGGUCAAUAA